This 84-nucleotide transfer RNA is filed under the name Trichonephila clavipes. It matches the Rfam family "tRNA". From Rfam's summary of the family: Transfer RNA (tRNA) molecules are approximately 80 nucleotides in length. The record is from Rfam by way of RNAcentral. Lineage: Eukaryota; Metazoa; Arthropoda; Arachnida; Araneae; Nephilidae.
GGUAGCGUGGCCGAGCGGUCUAAGGCGCUGGUUUAAGGCACCAGUCUCUCUCCGGAGGCGUGGGUUCGAAUCCCACCGCUGCCA